GACGAACGCUGGCGGCGUGCUUAACACAUGCAAGUCGAACGGAAAGGCCUGCUUUCCCUUGUGGAUUGCGGGUACUCGAGUGGCGAACGGGUGAGUAACACGUGAGUGAUCUGCCCCCAACUUGGGUAUAAGCCUGGGAAACUGGGUCUAAUUCCCGAUAGUACUGCAGGGUGGUGCCUGUGGUGGAAAACGAUUUUCUAGUGGUUGGGGAUGAGCUCGCGGCCUAUCAGCUUGUUGGUGGGGUAAUGGCCUACCAAGGCGGCGACGGGUAGCCGGCCUGAGAGGGUGGACGGCCACAUUGGGACUGAGAUACGGCCCAGACUCCUACGGGAGGCAGCAGUGGGGAAGAUUGCACAAUGGGCGGAAGCCUGAUGCAGCGACGCCGCGUGGGGGAUGACGGCCUUCGGGUUGUAAACUCCUUUCGACCGCGAGGAAGCCACCUGGUUGGAAGGGUGGUGACGGUAGUGGUAGAAGAAGCACCGGCUAACUACGUG
RNAcentral lists this ribosomal RNA (494 nucleotides) under uncultured bacterium. RNAcentral's name for it is "partial 16S ribosomal RNA". It matches the Rfam family "Bacterial small subunit ribosomal RNA", at positions 28 to 507 of the family's 1533-position model. The record is from RNAcentral.